This 253-nucleotide ribosomal RNA is filed under the name uncultured bacterium. RNAcentral's name for it is "partial 16S ribosomal RNA". It matches the Rfam family "Bacterial small subunit ribosomal RNA", at positions 524 to 776 of the family's 1533-position model. The record is from RNAcentral.
GACGUAGGAGGCGAGCGUUGUCCGGAUUUAUUGGGCGUAAAGGGCGUGUAGGCGGCUUGGCAAGUUGGGUGUAAAAUCCCCCGGCUUAACUGGGGGUGGCCACUCAAAACUGUUGAGCUAGAGGCCGGUAGGGGGAGACGGAAUUCCCGGUGUAGUGGUGAAAUGCGUAGAUAUCGGGAGGAACACCGAUGGCGAAAGCGGUCUCCUGGGCCGGUCCUGACGCUGAGACGCGAAAGCGCGGGUAGCGAACCGG